This 464-nucleotide ribosomal RNA is filed under the name uncultured bacterium. Its description in RNAcentral is "bacterial SSU rRNA". It matches the Rfam family "Bacterial small subunit ribosomal RNA", at positions 29 to 506 of the family's 1533-position model. The record is from RNAcentral.
AUGAACGUUGGCGGCGUGGAUUAGGCAUGCGAGUCGAGCGAGAACCGUAGCAAUACGGGGACAGCGGCGAAAGGGAGAGUAAUGCGUGGGUACCUACCCUCGGAUUCAGGAUAGCCAUGGGAAACUAUGGGUAAUACUGAAUAACGUCUUCGGACCAAAGGUGUGAUUCCGUCCGAGGAGGGGCCCGCGUCCUAUUAGCUAGUUGGUUGGGUAACGGCUCACCAAGGCUGAGAUGGGUAUGGGAUGUGAGAGCAUGAUCCCACUCAUUGGGACUGAGACACUGCCCAGACACCUACGGGUGGCUGCAGUCGAGAAUCUUCGGCAAUGGGGGAAACCCUGACCGAGCGACGCCGCGUGUGAGAUGAAGGCCUUCGGGUUGUAAAUCACUGUCAGAGGGGAGGAAAUGUCGGUGGGUUCUCCCACCGAUUUGACCUAUCCUCAGAGGAAGGACGGGCUAAGUUCGU